Molecule: ribosomal RNA, 649 nt
Filed under: uncultured fungus
Lineage: Eukaryota; Fungi
Description: eukaryotic LSU rRNA
Rfam family: Eukaryotic large subunit ribosomal RNA
Source: RNAcentral
AUAUCAGUAAGCGGAGGAAGAGAAACUAACAAGGAUUCCCCCAGUAACGGCGAGUGAAGCGGGACGAGCCCAAAUUUGAAAUCUGGGGGCCGCGCCCUCCGAAUUGUAGUUUCGAGAGGCAUCCACUGGACGGCGCGGGGCCGCACAGGUCCCCUGGAACGGGGCACCGCAGAGGGUGAGAGUCCCGUUGUGCGGGGCCGCGCCGGCCGCCGGGUGCGUCGACGAGUCGAGCUGUUUGGGAGUGCAGCUCAAAGGGGUGGUAAACUCCAUCCAAGGCUAAAUACGGGCAAGAGACCGAUAGCGGACAAGUACCGUGAGGGAAAGAUGAAAAGCACCUUGGAAAGGGAGUUAAACAGCGCGUGAAAUUGUUAAAAGGGAAACGAUUGGGGCCGUGGUGCGGCGGGCGGUCGAGCAACUCGGCGCCACUGCUGCGGGUCAACGGCGGUGCGCCGCGCUGCAUGAGCUGGCGGGAAAGGUGGGGCUUUUGCCUUUUACAGUCCCGCGCAGCGGCAGUGCGAUGCACCGGACGUCCUCGUGUCCAUUGCGCAGCGGUGCGGCAGGCGCCUGCGGACAGCAUGCUGGCCGUGUGGACAUACCUAGCGUACAAGUGCAAUGCAGAGGACCGCGUUGGCAGAGCGGCCCCAAACGA